Molecule: transfer RNA, 71 nt
Filed under: Loxodonta africana (African savanna elephant)
Lineage: Eukaryota; Metazoa; Chordata; Mammalia; Proboscidea; Elephantidae
Rfam family: tRNA
About the family: Transfer RNA (tRNA) molecules are approximately 80 nucleotides in length. Their secondary structure includes four short double-helical elements and three loops (D, anti-codon, and T loops).
Source: Rfam by way of RNAcentral
GCCUUGGUGGUUUAGUGGUAGAAUUCUUGCCCUCCGUGCAGGAGACCCAGGUUUGAUUCCUGGCCAAUGAA